RNAcentral lists this ribosomal RNA (427 nucleotides) under uncultured bacterium. Its description in RNAcentral is "bacterial SSU rRNA". It matches the Rfam family "Bacterial small subunit ribosomal RNA", at positions 355 to 774 of the family's 1533-position model. The record is from RNAcentral.
UGGGGAAUUUUGGACAAUGGGCGAAAGCCUGAUCCAGCCAUGCCGCGUGAGUGAAGAAGGCCUUCGGGUUGUAAAGCUCUUUUAGUCGGAAAGAAAGAGUUGCAAUGAAUAAUUGUGAUUUAUGACGGUACCGACAGAAAAAGCACCGGCUAACUACGUGCCAGCAGCCGCGGUAAUACGUAGGGUGCGAGCGUUAAUCGGAAUUACUGGGCGUAAAGGGUGCGCAGGCGGUCUUGCAAGUCAGAUGUGAAAGCCCCGGGCUUAACCUGGGAAUUGCGUUUGNAACUACAAGGCUAGAGUGCAGCAGAGGGGGGUGGAAUUCCAUGUGUAGCAGUGAAAUGCGUAGAGAUGUGGAAGAACACCGAUGGCGAAGGCAGCUCCCUGGGUUGACACUGACGCUCAUGCACGAAAGCGUGGGGAGCAAACA